Molecule: ribosomal RNA, 440 nt
Filed under: uncultured bacterium
Lineage: Bacteria
Description: partial 16S ribosomal RNA
Rfam family: Bacterial small subunit ribosomal RNA
Source: RNAcentral
CCUACGGGUGGCAGCAGUAGGGAAUAUUGCUCAAUGGGGGAAACCCUGAAGCAGCAACGCCGCGUGGAGGAUGAAGGUUUUCGGAUUGUAAACUCCUUUUGUUAGAGAAGAUAAUGACGGUAUCUAACGAAUAAGCACCGGCUAACUCCGUGCCAGCAGCCGUGGUAAAACGGAGGGUGCAAGCGUUACUCGGAAUCACUGGGCGUAAAGAGCGCGUAGGCGGGAUAGCAAGUCAGAUGUGAAAACCUAGGGCUUAACCAUAGAACUGCAUUUGAAACUGGUAUUCUAGAGUAUGGGAGAGGUAGGUGGAAUGCUUGGUGUAGGGGUAAAAUCCGUAGAGAUCAAGAGGAAUACUCAUUGCGAAGGCGACCUGCUAGAACAUAACUGACGCUGAUGCGCGAAAGCGUGGGGAGCAAACAGGAUUAGAUACCCUAGUAGUC